This 3296-nucleotide long non-coding RNA is filed under the name Homo sapiens (human). RNAcentral's name for it is "PREDICTED lncRNA (TCONS_00261132)". The record is from RNAcentral. Lineage: Eukaryota; Metazoa; Chordata; Mammalia; Primates; Hominidae.
CCAUCUGACAUUAGAUAUUAUUAUUAUUGUUGUUGUUGACAUUUUGCCUCUUUGCCUUUGCAGUAGGUCACUAAAGAAGCAGUUCCUUGAAAAACUGAAUUUCUAUUGUCUCUGUCAGAAAAAAAUCAUUCAUUAGCAGGAGAAGAACAGCAAGAGAUCAAUCACAUAAUCUUGAGAAGGUCUAGCAUGGCGGAUGCUGCGGCUACUGGUCCAGGAAGCACAUUUUGAGAACCACUCAGCUAGAAGAUUAUUGCAUUCAUCCAGGCCUUCAACAGAUUGGACGCUGCCCACCCACAUCGGGGAGGGCCACCUGCUUUUCUCAGUCCACGAAUUCAAAUGCUGCUGUCUUCCAGAAACACCUUCACAGACACAUCCAUUAUAUAUUAAAUACAAUGUGUUGCUAAAUAUCUGGGCAUCCUGUGGCCCAAUCAAGUUGACACACAGAAUUCACCACUACAGGAGUCAGGGUUAAAAUGAUUGGAUGAUUAUCUUGAGAUCAGCGGGUCAGCUCCCAGGUUUUGAAAUUGAGUGACACGGUAGGAAAUGCCCAAACCAGGUAUCUCAGGAAACACAGGAUAAGUUUGAUGAAGAGAAGACAGAGCUUCUGCUUUGGGCACAUAAAGUUAAGAUGCAAAUCGUGGUUUGGGUUUUUAUUGUAGAAACCCAGGCAGCAGUUUGGAAGAUUGGUCUGGAGUACUAAAGAGAGAUUUAUCUAGAGAGAGACUUGACAGUCAUUGGCAUUUGGGCUGGGUGAAUCCACAGAUCCUUUAAGGAGAACGAUGUGAGAGACUGGGAGAAGGAGAGAAAUCUGAACAUUCAAGUCACUGAGAACGAAGUGGCAGUGGAGAGAAGAGCAGCAAUCACAGAAAUGGAGCAAUGAGGAAGGAAGGAGGGGAUGGCAUCUGUGCCAAAAGUCAGCGGGAGGGCAUGCAGGAGAAGGAUGGGAAGUGUCUACAACUCUCAUGAUUCUGGGUAAAACUGGAGUCCUGUGUUCUAGUAGUCUCAAUAGAGGGAAGAAGGUGGAAGCUAGAUUUUAAAUGGGGUUGAGCCAGAAGGGAAGUUAGGAGGGAAAUGAAACUAUUUUUAGAAAUUUGGCUAUGAAGAAGACUUGAGGUGGAUAGCUCUCUAUCUUUUAAGGUGAAAAUCAUGCAAUUUUGUUUAUAUCUCGAGAGAAAGAGGCUGUGAGUGUUGCUGGAGGGCUCGGGAAGGUCUCUGGAUGCCAGUGAGACCCCAGCCCCAGCCGGUUUUCCAGGUUCUUGACAGCAUCACAAGAACGAAUUCAGGGGGGAGUCGAGUCAGAAUGAAGCGCAAGGCGAGAAGCUUCCAUUGCAAAGCGAAAGUGUGCUCUUGAGAGGAGCGUAGCCAUGCCCGUGAGAACAAGUCAGGCACAACGGAGGCUGGGUUUCUUAUUUUAGGGAUGUUUCUUUCUCUUUCUUUCUUUCUAUUUCUUUCUUUCUUUCUUUCUUUCUUUCUUUCUUUCUUUCUUUCUUUCUUUCUUUCUUUCUUUCCUUUCUUUCUUUCUUUCUUCUUUCUUUCUUUCUUUCUGUCUUUUUUUUUUGAGACGGAGUCUCUCUUUCGCCCAGGCUGGAGUUCAGUGGCGCGAUCUCGGCUCACUGCAAGCUCCGCCUCCCGGGUUCACGCCAUUCUCCUGCCUCAGCCUCCCGAGUAGCGGGGACUACAGGCGCCGGCCACCACACCCGGCUGAUAUUUUGUAUUUUUUAGUAGAGACAGGGUUUCACCGUGUUAGCCAGGAUGGUCUCGAUCUCCUGACCUCCUGAUCUGCCUGCCUCAUCCUCCCAAAGUGCUGGGAUUACAGGUGUGAGCCACCGCGCCCAGCCCGGAUGUUUCUUUAAUAAGGGGGUGGAAUGCUCAUUAGGUAUUCUGGAAAAGGAGGGGAUUUCAGGGACUCCUCCCCGCUCCUGUUAUUGCCUCCUUUCUCCCUUAUUUGGGUUUACCUGGAAGAGUCAUGGACAUGUCACCCUGACCAGGGUUUUGGUCAUUUUCUCUGCCUUAUUUUGGGCUUUCUCUACCCUGUGGAUUAUUUGCCUAGCCCCUGCUUCAGGGGUUCUUUGGGUUUGUCCAUACUCCUGCAACUACCCGUGCUAUUCCUAUCUCCUUAGAGGAGGAGAGAUUGACGAUAUCGAAGAGAAAUUACUCUGCUCUGUGGAUCUCAUUGGCACAGGUUCCUGCUGAAGUCUGAGGGGAAAAGGGGAUUCUGGAAGGCGGAGAAAUGGAUGGAUCCUGUGGAGAGGCCAGACAGCUUCCGAGCAGCUGAGAAAGAAGGAAGUCAGCCAAGGUCUGAAAGAAGAGAGAUAGAUGCUGGAGAGCAUUUAAAUGAAAAGAAUUUAACCAGAAGUAUCGGCAGAAGUAAAAGAAAAGCCAUGUUGGGGGAACCUAAAGAUUAGCCACAAAGGUUAAGGGAAAGGAGGGAGGAGAGGAGACGUUACUGCAGCCUGUGAAGGCCAGAGCAAGAGGCGUGGCCGUGGAAAGUGCAGGAAGUAUGGCUAUGGAGAGUGCUGGGGUGUGGCUGUGGUGGGUGCAGGAAGCGUGGCUGUGGAGCGGGUGUGGUUAUGGACGGAGUGUGGCUGUGGAGGGGGUGUGACUGUGGAGGGUGCUGAGUGUGGCUGUGGUGGGUGCUGGGGGUGUGGCUGUGGUAGGGGAGGUGUGGCUAUUGGAUAGUCACAGCUGUGGUGGGUGCAGGGGGCAAGGCUGUGGUGUAGGAAGUGUAGUGUGGCUAUUGAAUGGGGUGUAUAGCAGUGGUGAAUACAGGAGGCAUGGCCUUGGUGGGUACAGGAGGCAUGGCUAUAACACAGGAGGCAUGGCCUUGGUGGGUGCAGGAAGCAUAGCUGUGAUGCAAGAAGCAUGGCCUUGGUGAGUGCUGGAGUAUGUUCUCUAAAGACACUGUGAACACUAUUAGCCCAUACUGAACCACUGCUCCUGGAGAAAUACAGGGUUAGCUUCCACGCCUCUGAUCACUACAUUUUUGUCAUCCAACCAAUACAUAUUUUUGUUUUAUGUGUUUUUAUCUACAGACACCUUGUUUAAUAUACGUUUCUUACCAAUAGUUAACUGUAUGUAUUAUUCUUUAUAAUAAAACUCAAGCUGGGAAGAGUUUUGCGUUUUCCUGACCUUGGGUAAUGUGACUAAAAAUUUAUUUGGCUGUCAGCCUCACAACAAUGCUGUCCACUAAACUUUUUUUUUUUUAGAUGGAGUCUCGCUCUGUCGCUCAGGCUGGGGUGCAGUGGUGCAAUCUUGGCUCACUGCAACCUCCACCUCCCGGGUUCAAGAGAUUCUCC